This 913-nucleotide ribosomal RNA is filed under the name uncultured soil bacterium. RNAcentral describes it as "bacterial SSU rRNA". It matches the Rfam family "Bacterial small subunit ribosomal RNA", at positions 8 to 928 of the family's 1533-position model. The record is from RNAcentral.
AGAGUUUGAUCCUGGCUCAGAGCGAACGCUGGCGGCGUGCUUAACACAUGCAAGUCGAGUGCGCGCCUGUAGCAAUACAGGUGGCGCACGGCGCACGGGUGCGUAACACGUGGGUAAUCUGCCCUUCGAUGGGGAAUAACUCCGGGAAACCGAAGCUAAUUCCGCAUAACAUUCCUUGAACUUCGGUUUGGGGAUUCAAAGCCGUAAGGCGUCGGAGGAGGAACCCGCGCACGAUUAGCUAGUUGGUAGGGUAACGGCCUACCAAGGCUUUGAUCGUUAGCUGGUCUGAGAGGAUGGCCAGCCACACUGGAACUGAGACACGGUCCAGACUCCUACGGGAGGCAGCAGUGGGGAAUCUUGCACAAUGGGCGAAAGCCUGAUGCAGCGACGCCGCGUGGGGGAUGAAGCUUUUCGGAGUGUAAACCCCUUUCGACCCGGACGAAUACCUCGCAAGAGGGGUGACGGUACGGGUAUAAGAAGCCCCGGCUAACUACGUGCCAGCAGCCGCGGUAAGACGUGGGGGGCCAGCGUUGCUCGGAAUUACUGGGUGUAAAGGGUUCGUAGGCGGUGUAGCAAGUCGGGAGUGAAAUCUCUGGGCUCAACCCAGAGACUGCUUCCGAAACUGCUGUGCUUGAGUGUGGGAGAGGCGCGUGGAAUUGCAGGUGUAGCGGUGAAAUGCGUAGAUAUCUGCAGGAACACCCGUGGCGAAAGCGGCGCGCUGGACCACUACUGACGCUGAGGAACGAAAGCUAGGGGAGCAAACAGGAUUAGAUACCCUGGUAGUCCUAGCCCUAACGAUCAUGACUUGGGGUGCCGCACGUUCGUGCGUCGUCCCGGAGCUAACGCGUUAAUCCUGCACCUGGGGAGUACGGCGCAAGACUGAAACUCAAAGGAAUUGACGGGGCCCGUAUAA